Molecule: long non-coding RNA, 3464 nt
Organism: Malania oleifera
Lineage: Eukaryota; Viridiplantae; Streptophyta; Magnoliopsida; Santalales; Ximeniaceae
Exons: 2
Source: RefSeq, a predicted model, not a curated record
AAUCCGUAGGUUUUUCUAUAUAGGAAAAUACUAUUCCGGGAGGUUUUCAAAAUUUGUUUGGGAUGAAAAUGAUUUUUUUUUUUUUUUUGUUCCUAAAACAAUAUUUAUGUGAUUUUUCCUAAUUGUGAAAGUAUUUUUGUGAUUUUUUGUGAUUUUUCCCGAAUUUCAAAAAUAACACAAAUAAGAUCAAUUGAAAUCAAAGUACGAAAAUGUUUUUGAGAUUUUUGAAAAUUUUGUGAUUUUUAUGAAUUUUCUAAAUAUCAAUAAGAAGAAUAUGAAAUGGAGAGAACCGAUGUGAACCGGUUUGGGAGAGGACGAAUCGAUCAAACGUUGACCGAUCUGGGGAAAACCAGUUUAAGGUCUUGAUCGAGACCAAUUUUGUAGGUUUUUUUAAUAUCUCAAAAUUUUGAGGCAAAAACCAAAAAGUUUCGAGCUUGAAGACAUGACUUGAAAUUUAAAACUUAUUUGUGAAAUUUUUGAAUGUAAGAAAACAACUCCAAUUUUGAAAAACAUUUUGAAAAUUUUACUAUAUUUUCUUCACAAAUUUUCAAGUGAAAUCAAGUUUCAAAGCUUUAAUAUUUUUUGAAUUUUUCUGAGAAAUUUUCCUCAAUUUUUUUGUCCUUUAUGAAUAUUUUAUGAUUUUUAUGGAUUUUGCUGAAUUUAUUGGAAAUUAUUUGUGAAUUAUUGAGGUUAAACCGGUUAUCUACCGGUUCAACGGACCCAACCAGUUCGGGAAUCCGAACCAGCCAGCUCGAGUCAACCCGGUUUAAGGCCUGGGGCAAGGCCAGAUUGCCAUGUGGCGCGUCGUGAACUGGGCAAGUUAUAGUGGCACGGAUUAGGGACAUGGCGCAAUCCACACCAUCCCUAAGAAACACGCAUUGUGUGGUCUAGAAUCGUCCACAUGAGGCCUUGAACCCGCGGAGGAGAGAGCGCCACGUGUUGCGCUCUGACAAAGUCAUCAUACAAAAACCAAAAAUUUCCCUUCUCGUCCAUUUUGUUCUUUCAUUUUUCUUCCCCUCUGAAACGUCCAUGUUCCUCUCCAUCGCUCUGCUCUUUGCAUCCUGCCGCCGAACGAGCCUCCCAUCAUUACAUGUCCGCUUGAUCACAUCGUUUUGGUUGCAGAUCUUCUGUUGGUCGUCAUCCUCGCGCUACACCUCCGGCCACCACCGUCUUGGAAUCUCACGACAUACACGGCGAUCCGAGCCCUCGAUCACUCUCUGCCUCUCCCUAUGACCAUCCUGGCUAUUCUACGAGCUUAAGCCCCAAGAUCCUGCCUUCAGAUUUUCCUCGUUCUUCAACAACUGAUAAUCACCAUGACCGCCGUCAAGCUCAAACGCUGCAACUCCACGGCCGCCUAUCACGCCUGCUCUCCAGCUCCACGCCCUCGCUCUCGCCGUUUCUCUCCAUGCGCCGGUGUUCCUUUCGUUGGCCUCAAGAUCAGCUCCCGUCGCGUCACCAGAGCCGUCGUGCCCGCCUUGGUUCUCGCGGUGAUGUGUCGAUCGCUACACGCGGAACCGAUGCCGCGACUUCAACCGCCGCCCCGGAAUCGACCGCUGCAUUUCUCCGUGGCCGAAGCUUUUCACUUUGUUCUUUUCUAGUCCACGCAUUUUCGCUUCUCCGAUUUUACCAGAGGAAACGGCGAGGACGGGAAUGCUGUGUAGUGGCAGCGACGGUGAUGGCGGUGGAGUAGGGAGCGGAGAAGGAGUGGUUAGGGGGAGACAGGAGAUCUAUUCUGUGCUUCGACGACUACCCAGAUGAGUUUCCUUGCUCUUUUUUAUAUUUGUGAUUUCUGCAGACCGAGGUGGGUGAGUGAGGUGUGUGUGUGGGCGAGUGUUGUGAGAUCGGUGAGUGGGUGAGGCUGUGUGUGGAGGUGAGUGCUUGUGAAAUUGGCUUGAUUGAAUCUAAGGUUCGGAAGAUGUAAGUGUUGUGUGUGUGAACCUGCUGAAGUUAGGGCUGCGGGGGUUUGGGGGGGCGAGGUGGGAGACGGGUGAACCCGUCUCAACUCAAUGAGUUGGAUCUGAGUCAGGUUUUGAACGUUCAGUGGGCUACGUGGUGAUUUUGGUGGGCCUUUGGUGCUCUCUUGAGUUAGGCUUUAUUCAAAAAUUCAAAAUGGGCUUUGGACCUAGGACUCAGACUGGGCUUGGGGCUUUGCAAUUGAAAUAGGGGUAGUGGGUUUUCAAGGUGGCUUGGUGAAUUUUGAAAACAAAAGCCGGGCUCUAAGGUUUGUUCGUCAAAAAUGGGCCGGAUGGUUUUCAAAGUGAGAGUGGGCCUCAUUUUACAAUGGUAGUGGGCGGGCCUAUGCUUGUUGAAAAUGAACCUGGCCUCGUUUUAAAACAUGAGUGGGCUGGGGUUGUUUAAAAUGGGAGUUGGGUUGGUUUUUUUUUAAAUGGGUUCUGUGUGGAUGGAGUGCGUGGCUUUGGGUUAAGAAUUGAAAAUGGGGGCUCGGGGAAAUGCCUUGGAAUGGGUUAACUACUCGAACCUGAACUCAGAUUCGGGUAUGUGAUUCAAACAUGGGGGGUUCAAUUUGGGUUAGAUCGGGAACUCGUGUAUGAAAGUGUAAACAAAUCAAGAUUCGGAGGAUCCGAAUUCGAGCUCGAGUUUGGGUCGGCAUCGGCCAUGGGGUGAGUUAGAAUCCAUGUUCGGGUGAGAACCUGAAGCUCCCAAAGAAUGGUACCUGCAUCUAUUGCUCACAUAUAGUCACUUAUGUAUUGAGACAAGUUCAGAAAGAGGAUUUAGGAAUUUACCCUCCCUUGUACUCCUCCGGUCUUCUUUUCCUGUCUGUGCGUGUCCGAUUGGUCUGGUAGUCUGAAUCUGAAUGAGCUUCCGAGCUCUACCUUUUGCUUUCUCUUAUAAACUGGUAGAACCUUCGCCACUGCUCUCUGUUUCCAGACAGUCCUCUCUCUAAAUCAAUCUUUUUUGGAGCAGCACCUCCCCUCUUUUCUUUCUCUCAAUUCUCAUGAAAUGUUUAUGUGCUCUCCCUUUUUUAGAAAAAUAGGCAGAACCUCCCCUCUUUUCUAACUUCCAUCUCUUUCUCUCUCUCCCCCAAUUCUUGCAGGGUUUCCCUUCGAUCUCUCCCCCAUCUCUUCUACAGUGCGAGCCUCCCUAUUUAUAGGGAGGCCGUGGGUGUGUUUUGGCGCCAAUUCUCUCUGCUAACUGAUUUCCCCAAUAACAAACUGUGUCAGGGAAUAAUUUUCUGGCACGCGUGACUGAUUUCCUUUUUGAUUCCCGGCUAACAAAUUCCUCCCCUUCCGUGCAGGUGACUUUUGAGGGUCUACGUGGCGAACGGGAAAUGGAGGGCAUUUUGAGUGUCUCCUGGUGGCAGUGUAGGAGAGGACUCGGAAUAUAUAUUUUGUGUUUUCCUUUUUUCGUAAUUUCCCUCUUAUUUUUACUUUUGUAACCUCAGUAUGUACCUCCGGGAAUUCUCUCCCUCAACAUUUAACUUGUAUAUUUUAUUAACUUGUAUA